GCCGCGUUCGUCUAACGGUUAGGACGUUAGGUUCUCAACCUAAUAACAGGGGUUCGACUCCCCUACGCGGUACCA
RNAcentral lists this transfer RNA (75 nucleotides) under Candidatus Levyibacteriota bacterium. RNAcentral's name for it is "tRNA-Glu". It matches the Rfam family "tRNA". Rfam says of the family: Transfer RNA (tRNA) molecules are approximately 80 nucleotides in length. Their secondary structure includes four short double-helical elements and three loops (D, anti-codon, and T loops). The record is from RNAcentral. Lineage: Bacteria; Candidatus Levyibacteriota.